Molecule: ribosomal RNA, 730 nt
Filed under: uncultured bacterium
Lineage: Bacteria
Description: bacterial SSU rRNA
Rfam family: Bacterial small subunit ribosomal RNA
Source: RNAcentral
AACAGGAUUAGAUACCCUGGUAGUCCACGCCGUAAACGAUGUCGACUUGGAGGUUGUUCCCUUGAGGAGUGGCUUCCGGAGCUAACGCGUUAAGUCGACCGCCUGGGGAGUACGGCCGCAAGGUUAAAACUCAAAUGAAUUGACGGGGGCCCGCACAAGCGGUGGAGCAUGUGGUUUAAUUCGAUGCAACGCGAAGAACCUUACCUACUCUUGACAUCCACGGAAUUCGGCAGAGAUGCCUUAGUGCCUUCGGGAACCGUGAGACAGGUGCUGCAUGGCUGUCGUCAGCUCGUGUUGUGAAAUGUUGGGUUAAGUCCCGCAACGAGCGCAACCCUUAUCCUUUGUUGCCAGCGAUUCGGUCGGGAACUCAAAGGAGACUGCCGGUGAUAAACCGGAGGAAGGUGGGGAUGACGUCAAGUCAUCAUGGCCCUUACGAGUAGGGCUACACACGUGCUACAAUGGCGUAUACAAAGAGAAGCGACCUCGCGAGAGCAAGCGGACCUCAUAAAGUGCGUCGUAGUCCGGAUCGGAGUCUGCAACUCGACUCCGUGAAGUCGGAAUCGCUAGUAAUCGUGGAUCAGAAUGCCACGGUGAAUACGUUCCCGGGCCUUGUACACACCGCCCGUCACACCAUGGGAGUGGGUUGCAAAAGAAGUAGGUAGCUUAACCUUCGGGAGGGCGCUUACCACUUUGUGAUUCAUGACUGGGGUGAAGUCGUAACAAGGUAACC